CAAGCAUUCACACAGAGUUUUGGAGUCUCAAGUAAUAGAUAGAAACAACACUGGAACAGUAUGGUACACUAGAGCAUAGUAUAGCAGAGUUAGAGAUUUUUUUUAAAAACCUAUACAGGAGCUUUAAUGGGAGGUGUUCUAUGUCAUCUCCAGGGAACAUUUGACAAUGUUUGAAGACAUAUUUGAUUACUGUGGCUGGAGGGAGUAUUACUGGCGUCUCGUAAGUAAAGGUCAAGGAUGCUGCUACAAAACACAAAAAUCCUCCACAACUGUCCAGAUUAUCUGAAUUUGUCCAAGAAUUGUCUGACCCAAAUUGUCAGCAGCAGCAAGACUGAGAAACCCUGACCUGUACUAACACAGCCAGAGAGAAGGUGAAUUUAUGACCAUUAUAUCACUACUGAUACGACGACAUAAGCAUUCUAACAUGGACCAGUGUGAAUCAAAAUGAGACUGUGGACCCUCCCAGAUUGUCAACAGAAGAAAUAGAUGGGAUAAUGGUAGAAGGCAACCAGGCCAGAAUUUAAAAAAAUCCAUUUCCCUGGCAGUCAUGCUAAAAUUUUCCCUAAUAUCUGGAGGCCAAGAAGAUUGAUAGGUAAUAGUGAAUUCACACCAACCCUCUAUAAUUUGGUGUUAUGACUUAUUCAUCUUUUCAAAUCUCAAGUUUAUCACCUCUAAAAAGGAAAUAAAAAUUCUUUAUAGAGUUGUUAUAAAGAGUUUUAAAGUGCCUGGUGCCCCUUCCUUCUAGAAUUCAUAUUGUGUUAGGACUAGGGUGGUGUGUGAGGCAUGAGCUGAAGGUCUGUCUCCCUUCCAUCUCUCACUUCCACACACACCUUAACUCUGAAGGCCACCAUCACCAAAGGGAGAAAUGUCUAUGGGAAAAAAAAACAGGUGAGAGCUUCCAAGCUGUAGAGAAGAAUCAAAGGAUUCCAAGUCAGAGACUGCAUCCUGUAUGGAAAGUCCUGCAUCUUUGUCUGGGUGAUGAUGGGGCAAGCGGAGGUAGAGAGAAGAGU
RNAcentral lists this long non-coding RNA (1010 nucleotides) under Capra hircus (goat). RNAcentral's name for it is "lncRNA (ENSCHIG00010017335.1)". The record is from RNAcentral. Lineage: Eukaryota; Metazoa; Chordata; Mammalia; Artiodactyla; Bovidae.